Molecule: non-coding RNA, 162 nt
Filed under: Photobacterium carnosum
Lineage: Bacteria; Pseudomonadati; Pseudomonadota; Gammaproteobacteria; Vibrionales; Vibrionaceae
Description: Moco (molybdenum cofactor) riboswitch
Rfam family: Molybdenum/Tungsten riboswitch aptamer (Moco RNA motif)
Source: RNAcentral
CCAUAACUCCGAGCUUUUUUCACUAAGUUGCUACGUGCUGUUUGAUUUAUUCAUAAAAGAAAAAUCAAUAUCAAUAAGUGAUUAACGCCAGUGACAUAAUGUCACCAGGGUUGGUUUAGAAAUGAAUCGGCCUCCCGUAUUUGGAAAGGUGUUCCGUGGCUA